This 281-nucleotide long non-coding RNA is filed under the name Elaeis guineensis (African oil palm). RNAcentral describes it as "long non-coding RNA (EGUI_LNC018757)". Lineage: Eukaryota; Viridiplantae; Streptophyta; Magnoliopsida; Arecales; Arecaceae. The record is from RNAcentral.
GAGGCGCGACACGUCUGGUGUCUAUUACGUAUUGAAAUUAUCAUCCAUCAUAUAACCAUCUUGUUGUACCUUUAGAUCAAUGCUCAGAUUGAUCGAGCCAUACUUGGGCUUGAAUAUCCAUUUGUUGGAUGUACUUGAUGUUGUCAUAUUAAUGGUUGAACCUAAUUAGGAUUUUCAGUAGACGCACCACACACCUGCUCAAGGGAUGUCUGGGGUAAAAUCUGAUUGCUAGAAAUUAUUUGAAAAAAUAAUUAGUUAUGAACCUACCCAUGGAUGCACUA